This 440-nucleotide ribosomal RNA is filed under the name uncultured bacterium. Its description in RNAcentral is "partial 16S ribosomal RNA". It matches the Rfam family "Bacterial small subunit ribosomal RNA", at positions 338 to 795 of the family's 1533-position model. The record is from RNAcentral.
CCUACGGGAGGCAGCAGUGGGGAAUAUUGCACAAUGGGGGGAACCCUGAUGCAGCGACGCCGCGUGAGUGAAGAAGUAUUUCGGUAUGUAAAACUCUAUCAGCAGGGAAGAAAAUGACGGUACCUGACUAAGAAGCCCCGGCUAACUACGUGCCAGCAGCCGCGGUAAUACGUAGGGGGCAAGCGUUAUCCGGAUUUACUGGGUGUAAAUGGAGCGCAGACGGCUGUGCAAGUAUGGAGUGAAAGGCGGGGGCCCAAACCCCGGCCUGCCCUUGAAACUGUAAAGCUUGAGUGCAGGAGAGGUAAGCGGAAUUCCUAGUGUAGCGGUGAAAUGCGUAGAUAUUAGGAGGAACACCAGUGGCGAAGGCGGCUUACUGGACUGCAACUGACGUUGAGGCUCGAAAGCGUGGGGAGCAAACAGGAUUAGAUACCCUUGUAGUC